Long non-coding RNA from Mytilus trossulus (common blue mussel), 919 nucleotides. RefSeq lists it as uncharacterized. NCBI's taxonomy places the organism in Eukaryota, Metazoa, Mollusca, Bivalvia, Mytilida, Mytilidae. The record is from RefSeq and is a predicted model, not a curated record. The transcript has 2 exons.
CAGGAAGCUUGAAAUCCACAUGUUUUGAACGGACGGAAAUGUUUUGUUGCAAGAGGCGAAUAAUGGCCCAUAUACCCAAGGAUUUCAUCUUACAAGCCGAAUUGUACGCCAUAACUUGACUAUGAGUUCAAGAUGACAACGAUGAGAACAAAAAUGCAAAGGAUACUUGCCUUACAUUUACAUUGCAAUACAUGACUGCAGGAUAUAUGAACAGAAAACAUGGACAAUGUGUAAUUCACGGCAACAUAACUUUUUGAAAUUGAGAUAACUUUCCAACCAGAAGUUCCACAGUGUGAUCAUGGUGAUGUCAAACAGCAUGUUAAAAAUGAUUAAAAACAAUAUAGUAAGACUCAGCUUAAAGGUGAAAGGAGGACCCAGUUUUUGACACCCACUUUUUCUUGCCUGUUUUUUCUGGACAGAAAGAAAACCCUUCAUUUAAAUAGAAUGCAGAAAGUGACUGUUAAAUUGUAAAAUUAACGGAACCUACAGAAUGACAGAUGGAAACAUGUGUACAGAAAAAAACUCAUGUAAUCUAUAAAGUAAUUCAACAUCUUGUAGCAGCCUCGUAGAGAUCGUUCCACAGCAGUAAAGGAUGGUCAAAGGUGACCAGUUCUAAUUUCAACAUGAACACAGACAUGUCAGACAGAGAUUAAUCUCAACAAUUACAAUUUGAAUAAAAAAAAUGUGUGCACAUACAUUUUAUACAUGUACAAUGUUGUACCUGUAUAGUGGAAAAAUUACAUGUGCAAUUUAUUACGGACAGAAGACCAACAAAACAGGGCUAAAUGUUAUAGAUAACUGUAAAUUUACAUUAUGUUCAUAAGAACAGCAGUAUCAACAUUUGAACAGUAACAUCAUCCAUUAAUUUUUUGUCAAGCAUGUGUAUCAAAACAUUAAUUUGAUUAAAUAUUUCUAUUCA